AAGUCGUAACAAGGUCUCCGUUGGUGAACCAGCGGAGGGAUCAUUACAGAGUUAUACAACUCCCAUACCAUUUGUUAACUUACUCAGUUAUGCCUCGGCGUAAGCUCAGUUCAGAAGCGUUUCAUCAAGUUACCCUGUAGCUACCCUGUAGCUACUCUGUACUUGCUGAUUCGUUACCCUGUAGCCCGCCGGUGGUACGCUAAACUCUUGUUUAAUUUUAUAUUCUGAUUCUUAUUUUAAUAAGUUAAAA
RNAcentral lists this unclassified non-coding RNA (250 nucleotides) under plant metagenome. RNAcentral's name for it is "partial contains small subunit ribosomal RNA and internal transcribed spacer 1". The stretch from base 1 to 46 matches the Rfam family "Eukaryotic small subunit ribosomal RNA", at positions 1786 to 1831 of the family's 1831-position model. The record is from RNAcentral.